Molecule: long non-coding RNA, 583 nt
Organism: Xenopus laevis (African clawed frog)
Lineage: Eukaryota; Metazoa; Chordata; Amphibia; Anura; Pipidae
Exons: 3
Source: RefSeq, a predicted model, not a curated record
AAAAAGUUUCUGCUUACUCACUGAUUGUAGCGUGCAGUGACUCCUUCGUGCUGCCCAUACUUCUCCCCCCUCGUGGCUUGAUUCUGUUUCCUUAUCCCUCAGCCCCUCCCCUCUCAGCUCUUGUCACUCAGUACUCGCAGGGCUGGAUUACCCACAACCACCUUGUUUUAGGGGCCCAGUUUCCAGAAACUUUGCGCGCUCCUCCCGCAAGUAAGACAACCUUGGCACACGUGGAUGAUGCAGUUGAACUGGCCAUUUCUGGAUGUGGCUGCCUGGCUCUUCCACUGCCUGGCAAGUGCAGGUUCGUGGUAUGAAUCAUCUAAAAUGAGGAAAAGUCGACACCAGAAACCAAUAUUUUAGAACAAAAUAUGCAGUAUGUUAAGAAAUUGUCAAGACAAUGAAAACAAUACCCAAGGAAGGAAACUGCAUGAAUCAUUGCACGUUUAACUGCAUCUGAAACAUGUCCUUGCUGUGUUAUCUACUGUGUUAUCCAUGCAAGACACUAUUUUAUUUUCAUUUUCUCUGACAAACUAUGGUUAUGAUAUGCAAACUGCAGUACAGAGUUCAUAUUAAAGGACAAUGA